GACCGGCGCACGGGUGAGUAACACGUGAGAAUCUGCCGUUAGGAGAGGGAUAGCCUGUGGAAACAUAGGGUAAAACCUCAUAUGCCGAGAGGUGAAAAUCCGCGCAAGCGGAGCCUGACGAUGAGCUUGCGUCUGAUUAGCUAGUUGGUAGGGUAACGGCCUACCAAGGCGACGAUCAGUAGCUGGCCUGAGAGGGUGAACGGCCACAAUGGAACUGAGACACGGUCCAUACUCCUACGGGAGGCAGCAGCUAGGAAUCUUCCGCAAUGGGGGCGACCCUGACGGAGCGAUGCCGCGUGGACGAAGAAGGCGGAAACGCUGUAAAGUCCUUUUAUACGGGAAGAAUAAGUAUGUAUGUAAAGUGCGUAUGAUGACGGUACCGUAUGAAUAAGCUUCGGCUAACUACGUGCCAGCAGCCGCGGUAAUACGUAGGAAGCGAGCGUUGUUCGGAAUUAUUGGGCGUAAAGGGCAUGUAGGUGGUUGAACAAGUGUGGAUUGAAAGACCGUAGCUUAAUUACGAGUUUGGUCUGCAAACUGUUCGACUAGAGUUCAGGAGGGGAGAGUGGAAUUCCGCGUGUAGGGGUGAAAUCUGUAGAUAUGCGGAGGAAUACCGGUGGCGAAGGCGACUCUCUGGUCUGAUACUGACACUGAUAUGCGAAAGUGUGGGGAUCAAACAGGAUUAGAUACCCUGGUAGUCCACACAGUAAACGUUGUACACUAUGUGUUAAAUUGGUUAUUCAAUUUAGUGCCGAAGCAAACGCGAUAAGUGUACCGCCUGGGGAGUAUGCUCGCAAGGAGUGAAACUCAAGAAAUUGACGGGG
RNAcentral lists this ribosomal RNA (821 nucleotides) under uncultured bacterium. RNAcentral's name for it is "bacterial SSU rRNA". It matches the Rfam family "Bacterial small subunit ribosomal RNA", at positions 93 to 918 of the family's 1533-position model. The record is from RNAcentral.